This 520-nucleotide ribosomal RNA is filed under the name uncultured bacterium. RNAcentral describes it as "bacterial SSU rRNA". It matches the Rfam family "Bacterial small subunit ribosomal RNA", at positions 120 to 674 of the family's 1533-position model. The record is from RNAcentral.
GGGAACGUGCCUUCUGGUUCGGAAUAACUCUGGGAAACUAGGGCUAAUACCGGAUACGCCCUUAUGGGGAAAGGUUUACUGCCGGAAGAUCGGCCCGCGUCUGAUUAGCUAGUUGGUGGGGUAACGGCCUACCAAGGCGACGAUCAGUAGCUGGUCUGAGAGGAUGAUCAGCCACACUGGGACUGAGACACGGCCCAGACUCCUACGGGAGGCAGCAGUGGGGAAUAUUGGACAAUGGGCGCAAGCCUGAUCCAGCCAUGCCGCGUGAGUGAUGAAGGCCUUAGGGUUGUAAAGCUCUUUUAUCCGGGACGAUAAUGACGGUACCGGAGGAAUAAGCCCCGGCUAACUUCGUGCCAGCAGCCGCGGUAAUACGAAGGGGGCUAGCGUUGCUCGGAAUCACUGGGCGUAAAGGGCGCGUAGGCGGCGUUUUAAGUCGGGGGUGAAAGCCUGUGGCUCAACCACAGAAUGGCCUUCGAUACUGGGACGCUUGAGUAUGGUAGAGGUUGGUGGAACUGCGAGU